This 744-nucleotide ribosomal RNA is filed under the name bacterium 53-L049660-122-017-E07. RNAcentral's name for it is "bacterial SSU rRNA". It matches the Rfam family "Bacterial small subunit ribosomal RNA", at positions 61 to 817 of the family's 1533-position model. The record is from RNAcentral.
GUCGAACGAUGAUGCCCAGCUUGCUGGGUGGAUUAGUGGCGAACGGGUGAGUAACACGUGAGUAACCUGCCCCUGACUCUGGGAUAAGCGUUGGAAACGACGUCUAAUACUGGAUAUGAUCACUGGCCGCAUGGUCUGGUGGUGGAAAGAUUUUUUGGUUGGGGAUGGACUCGCGGCCUAUCAGCUUGUUGGUGAGGUAAUGGCUCACCAAGGCGACGACGGGUAGCCGGCCUGAGAGGGUGACCGGCCACACUGGGACUGAGACACGGCCCAGACUCCUACGGGAGGCAGCAGUGGGGAAUAUUGCACAAUGGGCGAAAGCCUGAUGCAGCAACGCCGCGUGAGGGAUGACGGCCUUCGGGUUGUAAACCUCUUUUAGUAGGGAAGAAGCGAAAGUGACGGUACCUGCAGAAAAAGCACCGGCUAACUACGUGCCAGCAGCCGCGGUAAUACGUAGGGUGCAAGCGUUGUCCGGAAUUAUUGGGCGUAAAGAGCUCGUAGGCGGUUUGUCGCGUCUGCUGUGAAAUCCCGAGGCUCAACCUCGGGCUUGCAGUGGGUACGGGCAGACUAGAGUGCGGUAGGGGAGAUUGGAAUUCCUGGUGUAGCGGUGGAAUGCGCAGAUAUCAGGAGGAACACCGAUGGCGAAGGCAGAUCUCUGGGCCGUAACUGACGCUGAGGAGCGAAAGCAUGGGGAGCGAACAGGAUUAGAUACCCUGGUAGUCCAUGCCGUAUACGUUGGGCGCU